UGUGGGAGCUGGCUUGCCUGCGAUAGCGGUGGUUCAGUCAAUAAAUGUAUCGGCUGACAGACCGUCAUCGCAGGCAAGCCAGCUCCCACA
Molecule: unclassified non-coding RNA, 90 nt
Filed under: Pseudomonas salomonii
Lineage: Bacteria; Pseudomonadati; Pseudomonadota; Gammaproteobacteria; Pseudomonadales; Pseudomonadaceae
Source: RNAcentral